AUACGUAGGGGGCAAGCGUUGUCCGGAUUUAUUGGGCGUAAAGGGUGCGUAGGCGGCCUUUUAAGUCAGAUGUGAAAGGUCACGGCUCAACCGUGGUAAGCAUUUGAAACUGAAAGGCUUGAGUUAAGGAGAGGAAAGUGGAAUUCCUAGUGUAGCGGUGAAAUGCGUAGAUAUUAGGAGGAAUACCAGUGGCGAAGGCGACUUUCUGGACUUAUACUGACGCUGAGGCACGAAAGCGUGGGGAGCGAACAGGAUUAGAUACCCUGGUAGUCCACGCCGUAAACGAUGAGUGCUAGGUGUUGGGGGUCAAACCUCGGUGCCGCAGCUAACGCAUUAAGCACUCCGCCUGGGGAGUACGUACGCAAGUAUGAA
This 372-nucleotide ribosomal RNA is filed under the name uncultured bacterium. Its description in RNAcentral is "bacterial SSU rRNA". It matches the Rfam family "Bacterial small subunit ribosomal RNA", at positions 523 to 898 of the family's 1533-position model. The record is from RNAcentral.